Molecule: ribosomal RNA, 249 nt
Filed under: uncultured bacterium
Lineage: Bacteria
Description: partial 16S ribosomal RNA
Rfam family: Bacterial small subunit ribosomal RNA
Source: RNAcentral
GCAAGUCGAGGGGUAGAUAAGUGCUUGCACUUAUUGAGACCGGCGAACGGGUGCGUAACACGUAUGCAACCUACCUUCAACUGGGAAAUAGCCCGAAGAAAUUCGGAUUAAUAUCCCAUAAUUUUACUUUAAGGCAUCUUUUAGUAAUUAAAGCUCCGGCGGUUGGAGAUGGGCAUGCGGUCCAUUAGUUAGUUGGUGAGGUAACGGCUCACCAAGACCACGAUGGAUAGGGGGUCUGAGAGGAUGAUC